UGGGGAAUUUUGCACAAUGGGGGAAACCCUGAUGCAGCGACGCCGCGUGAUUUAUAAGGCCUUCGGGUUGUAAAAAUCUUUUUUACGGGAUGAAAAUGACAGUACCGUAAGAAUAAGGUCCGGCUAAAUACGUGCCAGCAGCCGCGGUAAUACGUAUGGACCGAGCGUUGUCCGGAAUCAUUGGGCGUAAAGGGUACGUAGGCGGACUGGUAAGUUAGAAGUGAAAUAAUAUAGCUCAACUAUAUAAAGCUUUUAAAACUGCUAGGCUUGAGAGAUGGAAAGGAAAGUGGAAUUCCUAGUGUAGCGGUGAAAUGCGCAGAUAUUAGGAAGAAUACCGGUGGCGAAGGCGACUUUCUGGUCAUCAUCUGACGCUGAGGUACGAAAGCGUGGGUAGCAAACAGG
Molecule: ribosomal RNA, 402 nt
Filed under: bacterium
Lineage: Bacteria
Description: partial 16S ribosomal RNA
Rfam family: Bacterial small subunit ribosomal RNA
Source: RNAcentral